UCUUCUCCUUCCUAUUGACCGCCAACCAGUGAGUGCUGUUUCGUUCCUUCACUGUUAACUCUAUGUGGAAUCUCACUUCUCCAUGGACACGGCCUAAACCCUAAUAUUUUCCAAUUGAAUCAGUUUUUCCAUCUUCAUUUUCUUCUCUAUUUUCCAAAAUUGCCACUAUCCCAUUCGGAGAUGCCGUUGAGAUCCAGCCAUGGACGGGGAGGCUAACCUUCCGGUCUCGGCUGCUCCUCCCCCCAGGAAUCUCGCCCUUCCGAUCAUCAACGCUGACACGACGUCGUCCUCGUCAGCGUCUUUCUCUUCCUCUACCCCGCCGGACUUUCUCAAGCAUGUUCAAGCUGCCUUCAAGCGCCAUCGCCCACUCUGUACCUCAUUCUCUUUCUUUUUCUCUACGUAUAUACAUGUAUGCUAUGUAUAGCUGUGUAUGAAAUGGUUUUUGGUGCCGUGUUUUCUUUCCAUAGGUUCGUCGUUCCUUACAAUUGUGAAAAAUUAGGGUUUUAUUUUUUGUAACUGGUGUGCAUUGUUAAAUGAUAAAGGUGAAACUGAAUGUUCUUGUAGGCAUUUGCAGUAAUAAAUAUUGGUAAAUGUGUUCAGUUAGUGCAUUUUUAGGGGAUAUCUGUAGAAUUGUCAAAUCAGAUUUGGGCUUCUUUGUUCCGCAAAAAUGCUAUAGUGUUCGGUACCUUCAGUUAAUCAGAAUUAAUUUGAUUAGCUAAAUUAUGUACCAUAAAAACUUCUGUAUGUUUGAUUUAGUUGUUGUUUUCCAUUUGGGAAUGUGGACGACCAUAUGCAUUAGUGAUUCUGUGAAAAUAAAAUUUAAUGGUUCGAGGAAGUUUCUUUAUCUAACAAAGGGAACAUUUCAUAUAUCACUUGCCAUUUAAUUACAAGGCUUGUCAAGUUCCUGAAUGCUUGGUAUGUUUAUUUUAGGUACAAAGACCAUGCCGACCUAUAGUAUAAAGCCUAGGCGUACUUUGGUUCCACAAUGUGAAGCAUCUAAAACUGCAGUUUCUGAUGUAGAUCCUAAGGCAGGCAUGAAGAAGCCUGAGCAUGUUAUUCCAGUCAGUCUAACUGUAAAAGAUUCAAUUAUGCAAACCAAAAAUCCAGCUGCUGUCAUUAGGGAAACUCAAGAAGAGUCAAUUACUCCUCCUUCCAUUUCAGGCACCAUCACCAAGACCUUUGAUGAGAAUUUCAACCCGUCUGUUUUGCAGAAAGGUCAAUCCACAUCCAUUAUUGAUUGUAAAGAGAAUAAUCCAAUGUCCUCGUUACUUGUUGAUGGCAAGAGAAGGGUCCAGUUUUCAAUGGAAAAAAAUGCUAAUUCCCCAGAAAUGGAAUGGGAUGCAAGCAAUCAAAUAGAGGCAUCAAAUGUCAUCAAUGAUGAAUCAAAGCAUCAGAAUUUUCAGAACAAUGAAACUGAUAUCAGUUUGAGGACUGAUGGUGCAGCAUCAUUGUUGGCAAAAAGAACGAUACUUGCCCAGGACCAAGCACUUCAAUUUGGAAACUUUUUAGGCCAACCUGCUAAUCAAUCUUCAGUUGUUGGUCCAUCUUGUGCCACCACUACAUCUGUCCAUUCUACUUCAGCACCUAAGCUAAACUCAACAAGUUAUUACUCUUGUUCACAUCCAGAGAAUGGCACUCAUGUGGCAGUUGAACCAUUGGGAGAUUUUAAUAUGAGUUCUCAGCAUAUGAGUCAAAGAAAUAUGGAGCACCUGUCCUAUAAUUCACUAAAGGACACAAAUGGUAUGCUAAUUAACCAGACAGCCAUUGCAGCCCAAGCUUCUUCAUCUACUAUUGAUGCCCAAAUAAAUGAGCACCAUCUGCCCAGGGAGAAACAGGGCAAUCUGGCCAAGGAGACUGACAUUUCAAACAAUCCUUCUUAUGUUGGUGAUAACACAACUAAAGAGAGAGGAUCAGUGGACGAUGUUCAUGAUGUACAAGCUCAGAAUCCAUUGUCAAAAAACCCAUCCUCAGAUGUGAAGUUGGAGCCUUCCAAAUCAGAAAAGCAAGAAAAGGUUACAAGUGGUAAAGGUGUUUCAGUGCCUCGUAAAAGGAAUUAUGACCCUGACUUGUUCUUUAAAGUUAAUGGGAAGCUCUAUCAAAGGCUUGGUAAGAUAGGAAGCGGAGGAAGUAGCGAGGUCCAUAAAGUCAUCUGUUCAGACUGUACAAUCUAUGCACUCAAGAAAAUCAAACUCAAAGGUCGUGAUUAUGCAACUGCAUAUGGUUUUUGUCAGGAAAUUGAGUAUCUAAAGAAAUUGAAGAGAAAGAACAAUAUCAUACAGUUAAUAGACUAUGAGGUAACAGAUAAAAAUUUGCUCUGUGAAGUCAUGAAUGGAUCUGUGAGUAAUAAAGAUGCCAGAGUUAAGGAUGAUGGAUAUAUAUACAUGGUCCUUGAAUAUGGGGAAAUUGAUUUGGCUCACAUGCUUUCGCAGAAAUGGAAGGAACUGGAUAGCGCCAAUCAGUCCAUAGAUGAGAAUUGGCUGAGAUUUUACUGGCAGCAAAUACUUCAAGCUGUCAACACCAUACAUGAGGAACGCAUAGUGCACUCUGACUUGAAGCCAGCUAAUUUUCUUCUUGUCAAAGGUGCUCUAAAGUUGAUUGAUUUUGGAAUUGCCAAAGCCAUAAUGAGUGAUACGACUAACAUCCAAAGGGAUUCACAGGUGGGUACUCUAAGCUACAUGUCUCCUGAGGCAUUCAUGUGCAACGAGAGUGAUGCAAAUGGAAACACAAUAAAGUGUGGUCGGCCAUCAGAUAUUUGGUCUCUUGGCUGCAUACUCUACCAAAUGGUAUAUGGGAGAACCCCCUUUGCAGAGUACAAGACUUUCUGGUCUAAGUUCAAAGUUAUAACAGACCCAAAACAUGAAAUAGCUUAUGGUCCAGUUUCUAAUCCCUGGCUUCUUGAUCUUAUGAAAAAAUGUCUUGCUUGGGAUCGGAAUGAAAGAUGGAGAAUUCCUCAACUACUUCAACAUCCUUUUCUUGUUCCCCCAGUCCCUCCCCAACAAUCCUUACCUGAAGAGCAAGGCUGUAUGCUGAUUCAACUUGUUGCUGAAGCUUGUGCUAAUAAUCAGGAAGCCUCUAAGCUCUGUUUUGACCUCCAACAACUGCUUAGGAAUCCGGUCACUCCUGUAACAUAUCAGUCAUUAACAUCACGAGACCAACAAUGUAAGUUACUCUCAGAAAUAUCUAAGCUUAGCUUUCAACUGAAAGAAUGUCUGUCAAAGUUGGAGAGAGACCAUAAAUAGAUUCAGUUGUACAAAUGAGUUCAGGUGUGUCAAUGUUAGGAGCGUUUUUGCCUGAGGGGAACUAUGAAAAAUGGUAUUCAAUCCUAUUCCAUUUGUUUGUAAUACGUUACUUAUUCCUGUUGUGUAAGUUAUUGCGUAAGCAUAGGAUUGGAGUUAUCCCCUGCUCCAAAUGUACGCAUCUCCUUCUUGGACAAUGAAUUUGAACUUUCACAGCAGUUGGAAACACGUUCAGGUAAUUAUUCCUGCUGUACAUAUUGGUUUCUUUCGGAAAAUAUCAUUUGUAAGAAAAAAAAAAUAUUUCAAUUUCCA
Molecule: unclassified non-coding RNA, 3548 nt
Filed under: Hevea brasiliensis (rubber tree)
Lineage: Eukaryota; Viridiplantae; Streptophyta; Magnoliopsida; Malpighiales; Euphorbiaceae
Source: RNAcentral